This 580-nucleotide long non-coding RNA is filed under the name Homo sapiens (human). Its description in RNAcentral is "HSALNT0176066". Lineage: Eukaryota; Metazoa; Chordata; Mammalia; Primates; Hominidae. The record is from RNAcentral.
ACUUGGGGCCCUUUAGUUUCGCAUCUGGACCUUCGAUAUUCACAUCAGGAACAUCAACGUCCACUUUGGGAAGGGAAACAUCCACAUCACCCUUCACCUUGGGACCUUUCAGAUGCAAAUCAAAGUCAGGCAUGGAGAUCUUGGGGGCUUUGAUGUUCAUCUCAGGCAUCUUGAAUUUAGGGCCCUUUAGUUUCGCAUCUGGACCUUCGAUAUUCACAUCAGGAACAUCAAUGUCCACCUUGGAUGCAAAUCAAAGUCAGGCAUGGAGAUCUUGGGGGCUUUGAUGUUCAUCUCUGGCAUCUUGAAUUUAGGGCCCUUCAGUUUCGCAUCUGGACCUUCAAUAUUCACAUCUGGAACAUCAACGUCCACCUUGGGUCCUGAGACGUCAAGGUCAGCCUUGGGCAGGUUCACAUCCACAUCUGGGCCCUCUCCUUUGAAGCCAGGCAUGCUGAACUUGGGCAUUUUCACCUUGGGCAUCUUCAGGUGCCAGUCUGGACCCUGAACAUUAACAUCUGGGACAUCAAUGUCCACUUUGGGGCCUUUGAGGUCAACUUCAGGACCUUUCAGAUCUCCCUCUACC